This 253-nucleotide ribosomal RNA is filed under the name uncultured bacterium. RNAcentral describes it as "partial 16S ribosomal RNA". It matches the Rfam family "Bacterial small subunit ribosomal RNA", at positions 524 to 776 of the family's 1533-position model. The record is from RNAcentral.
UACGGAGGGUGCAAACGUUGCUCGGAAUCAUUGGGCGUAAAGCGCACGUAGGCGGCCUGUUAAGUCGGGUGUGAAAGCCCUGGGCUCAACCCAGGAAGUGCCUUUAAAACUGCAUCGCUAGAAUUGUGGAGAGGUAAGUGGAAUUCCGAGUGUAGAGGUGAAAUUCGUAGAUAUUCGGAAGAACACCAGUGGCGAAGGCGACUUACUGGACAGAUAUUGACGCUGAGGUGCGAAAGCGUGGGGAGCAAACAGG